RNAcentral lists this ribosomal RNA (407 nucleotides) under uncultured bacterium. RNAcentral's name for it is "partial 16S ribosomal RNA". It matches the Rfam family "Bacterial small subunit ribosomal RNA", at positions 28 to 526 of the family's 1533-position model. The record is from RNAcentral.
GAUGAACGCUAGCUACAGGCUUAACACAUGCAAGUCGCAGGACUGGCGGACGGGUGAGUAACGGGUAUCCAACCUUCCCAUAACUACGGGAUAACCCGUUGAAAGACGGCCCAAUACCGACUGGUAAUGGAUGUGGAUGCUUUUGAUUAGCUUGUUGGCGGGGUAACGGCCCACCAAGGCGACGAUCAGUAGGGGUUCGGAGAGGAAGGUCGCCGACAUGGGUGCUGAGGACCUGUACAAACUCCUACAGGAGGCAGCAGUGAGGAAUACUGGUCAAUGGGUGAGUACCUGAACCUGCCAAGUAGCGGGCAGGAGGACGGCCGAUGGGUUGUAAACUGCUUGUAUGUGGGGAUAGGUAGCACAUGAAUAAGGACCGGCUAACUCCGUGACAGCCGCCGCGGUAAUUC